AAAAUGCUACAUAAACAUAAAAAUAAAAUGCUAAAAGAAAAUAAAAUGUUAAAAGAAAAAAGCUAAAAGAAAUAAAAUGCUCAAUACGGGUAUCGAACCCACUACACUAAAGACCAUAAAAAUCACCCCUCUCCACCAGACCACUCAUGACUAAUUAUUAUUUUGCUGCUAGUUUGGAUAAAUAAACUAAGAUAUAUUUAAAAUUAGAAUUAAAAUAAAAACUAAUAAAAAAGAAAUCUGUUGGACUACCAUCAUUAAACCCAGCCGCUUGGCUGUUGGGUUUUAGAGGCUGGUGAGUUGGGAAUAGUAAAAAAAAUGGAAUCAUUGUUAAACACCAACGUUAAUGUCUACUGGAAACAACCAAAGGUCACUUAAAUGGAGUUA
RNAcentral lists this long non-coding RNA (384 nucleotides) under Lathyrus oleraceus (garden pea). RNAcentral's name for it is "Pisum sativum (pea) long non-coding RNA (PSAT_LNC005076)". Lineage: Eukaryota; Viridiplantae; Streptophyta; Magnoliopsida; Fabales; Fabaceae. The record is from RNAcentral.